Molecule: ribosomal RNA, 466 nt
Filed under: uncultured bacterium
Lineage: Bacteria
Description: partial 16S ribosomal RNA
Rfam family: Bacterial small subunit ribosomal RNA
Source: RNAcentral
GAUGAACGCUGGCGGCGUGCUUAACACAUGCAAGUCGAACGGAAAGGCCCAAGCUUGCUUGGGUACUCGAGUGGCGAACGGGUGAGUAACACGUGGGUGAUCUGCCCUGCACUUCGGGAUAAGCCUGGGAAACUGGGUCUAAUACCGGAUAGGACCACUUCUUGGAUGUUGUGGUGGAAAGUUUUUUCGGUGUGGGAUGAGCUCGCGGCCUAUCAGCUUGUUGGUGGGGUAAUGGCCUACCAAGGCGUCGACGGGUAGCCGGCCUGAGAGGGUGUACGGCCACAUUGGGACUGAGAUACGGCCCAGACUCCUACGGGAGGCAGCAGUGGGGAAUAUUGCACAAUGGGCGCAAGCCUGAUGCAGCGACGCCGCGUGGGGGAUGACGGCCUUCGGGUUGUAAACUCCUUUCGCUAGGGACGAAGCGUUUUGGGACGGUACCGGGAGAAGAAGCACCGGCUAACUACGU